Molecule: unclassified non-coding RNA, 369 nt
Filed under: Hevea brasiliensis (rubber tree)
Lineage: Eukaryota; Viridiplantae; Streptophyta; Magnoliopsida; Malpighiales; Euphorbiaceae
Source: RNAcentral
GAACAAUCCAGUUCAAUAACAACUCUUAUCUCAUUCUAUACCUAACAGAACUCUUAAAAUAUAUAUACCAUAAUCAUCUAUUUUUGCUAAAUUUUGCUCUCAAAGUCUGUUUAUCAUCUCCUUUUCUACUAAAUAUUCUCAACAUGUAUUUUCAUCAUCUAUCAUUAUUGUUAUAUGUGUGUGAGGGUGGGGUCUUAGGUGGCGUACCAUAGAAGUGGCAUAUAAGUGGCUUAGGUAGUUAUAGGUUAGGGUGUAAAUGACCAAUCUAACCAUUCAUUUUUCAUUUAAAAUUGGGAUAAAUUUUGACAAUCGCUUCUGAACUUAUCUAGUAUAAUUUUAUAGUCACUCAAUUUAAAAAUGUAACAUAAA